Molecule: ribosomal RNA, 261 nt
Filed under: Wolbachia sp. IS0705
Lineage: Bacteria; Pseudomonadati; Pseudomonadota; Alphaproteobacteria; Rickettsiales; Anaplasmataceae
Description: partial 16S ribosomal RNA
Rfam family: Bacterial small subunit ribosomal RNA
Source: RNAcentral
ACUAAUACCGUAUACGCCCUAUGGGGAAAAAUUUAUUGCUAUUAGAUGAGCCUAUAUUAGAUUAGCUAGUUGGUGGAGUAAUAGCCUACCAAGGCAAUGAUCAAUAGCUGAUCUGAGAGGAUGAUCAGCCACACUGGAACUGAGAUACGGUCCAGACUCCUACGGGAGGCAGCAGUGGGGAAUAUUGGACAAUGGGCGAACGUGAUCCAGCCAUGCCGCAUGAGUGAAGAAGGCCUUUGGGUUGUAAAGCUCUUUUAGUGA